AAGAAUUCAGACAUUUUGGGUGCUGACAGCUCCUGGACCAUCUAGACUCUCAGUCUCAUGCAUGGAACACUCUUAGUUUCCGUAUUGUAUAUAAUGAACGAUUGAGGAUACUUACACAUGUACAAUAAGCUGUUGGAAGCCUCUUGGAACUAGCUAGAUACUAAAUCAAAAUAUAAAUUUUGGAACAUGGUCACAGAGGUAAGUAGCACUGCACUUAUACUGCACAACACUGAAGAUUUCACUCUGAAUAGUUUUAGAUACUCGGUGUAGGAGUGAAAUCUAAUUCUGAAAAUUCUAAAUGUGCAAGCUUGGUUCAAGGAACUGGACUGAAACUGACACAUAACUGAGGUA
Molecule: long non-coding RNA, 351 nt
Filed under: Sorghum bicolor (sorghum)
Lineage: Eukaryota; Viridiplantae; Streptophyta; Magnoliopsida; Poales; Poaceae
Description: long non-coding RNA (SBIC_LNC002167)
Source: RNAcentral